GAGUUUGAUCGUGGCUCAGGACGAACGCUGGCGGCGUGCUUAACACAUGCAAGUCACGGGGGCCCGCAAGGGCAACCGGCGAACGGGUGCGUAACACGUGAGCAAUCUGCCGAUUUCAGGGGGAUAGCCGGCCCAACGGCCGGGUAAUACCGCAUACGCUCAUCUGGGGGAGUCCCUGGGUGAGGAAACCUCCGGGGGAGAUCGAGGAGCUCGCGGCCUAUCAGCUAGUUGGCGGGGUAAUGGCCCACCAAGGCUCUGACGGGUAGCUGGUCUGAGAGGAUGGCCAGCCACAUUGGGACUGAGAGACGGCCCAGACUCCUACGGGAGGCAGCAGUGGGGAAUCUUGCGCAAUGGCCGAAAGGCUGACGCAGCGACGCCGCGUGUGGGAGGAAGCCCUUCGGGUGUAAACCACUGUUGCCGGACGAAUGACCUUUCGAGGGAGGUGACGGUACCGGGUGAGGAAGCACCGGCUAACUCCGUGCCAGCCGCCGCCGUAAC
This 498-nucleotide ribosomal RNA is filed under the name uncultured Gemmatimonadota bacterium. RNAcentral's name for it is "bacterial SSU rRNA". It matches the Rfam family "Bacterial small subunit ribosomal RNA", at positions 9 to 524 of the family's 1533-position model. Lineage: Bacteria; Pseudomonadati; Gemmatimonadota. The record is from RNAcentral.